CCUACGGGAGGCAGCAGUGAGGAAUAUUGGUCAAUGGACGGAAGUCUGAACCAGCCAUGCCGCGUGCAGGAAGACGGCUCUAUGAGUUGUAAACUGCUUUUGUACAAGGGUAAACCUGAAUACGUGUAUUCAGCUGAAAGUACUGUACGAAUAAGGAUCGGCUAACUCCGUUCCAGCAGCCGCGGUAAGACGGAGGAUCCAAGCGUUAUCCGGAUUUAUUGGGUUUAAAGGGUGCGUAGGCGGAUUGAUAAGUUAGAGGUGAAAUGUCCGGGCUUAACUCGGGAACUGCCUCUAAUACUGGUGAUCGAGAGUGUGGGUGCGGAAGGUGGAAUGUAUGGUGUAGCGGUGAAAUGCUUAGAGAUCAUACAGAACACCGAUUGCGAAGGCAGCUAACCAAUCUAUAUCUGACGUUGAGGAACGAAAGCGUGGGGAGCAAACAGGAUUAGAGACCCUGGUAGUC
This 460-nucleotide ribosomal RNA is filed under the name uncultured bacterium. RNAcentral's name for it is "partial 16S ribosomal RNA". It matches the Rfam family "Bacterial small subunit ribosomal RNA", at positions 338 to 795 of the family's 1533-position model. The record is from RNAcentral.